CCUCCCUCCUUUACUCUUUUUUCUCUUCCUAUUAAGUUUUUACAGAUUUUUUUCUUUUUUCUUUUACUUUUUUUUAUCUAUAUAUACAUUUAUUUCUCUGUUCUAUUGGCUCCAUAGCAAAAGGGCUUGAUAUCCAAAUAAAAAAAAAAAAAAGUUUCUUACUUUUCUUCAACCUCUUGUUGAUCUUCUGAAAUUUAGGGUGGAAGAAGAAGAAGAUGAAGAAGAAGAGUGGGCAGGCGUUAUUUGCGGGUGUAGCAUCUUCAAGAUUCACAACAUAUGCAAAUAUUAUCGAAAUAAAAAUAAUAUGAUGCUCAAAAAUCUCAACUUGAGAAUCUUGAUGAUGCUGCAUCAGCAAUCAAACGACUAUUAUUAAUCACUACAACACUCACCCAAACAAAAAAAAAAAAGAAAAAAAAAAACAUUAUCAUUAUUACUAUUUCUUCUUACUCACUGCCAAUUCAUCAACUUAAUUGCCCAAAGUCCGACGAUUCUCUCUGUCUUCCUUCUUCCUUCUCAUAUCCUUCAGGUGGGUCUCUCUCUCUUUCAUCUUUCUGUAAUUUUCUUACUUUUGCUAGGGACGAACACACCAUAGAUUGAAAAGCCAACCGAAUCAAAAGUGGUUGAUGGUCAAUUGAAGAUAAAGGGGAGAUUCACUAGGUGUCGGUUUGUACUCUCUCAAAGUCGAAGUCGAUUUUAUUGUUUACUAAACCGAUCAUAAUAGUAUUGAGUUAAUUAGAAAAUCGACUUUGACCAACCAAAGUUCAAUCGCUAACUUUUAGAACUAGUAAAGAAGUAUCUAUAGAUCAUUUUUAAAGAAUUUCAAAUAUAGUAGAAUGUGUUCAUUGAUAUAUCCUAUAUUUAAAGUAUUUCUUUUUUACAUUGCUUCA
Molecule: long non-coding RNA, 887 nt
Organism: Cucumis melo (muskmelon)
Lineage: Eukaryota; Viridiplantae; Streptophyta; Magnoliopsida; Cucurbitales; Cucurbitaceae
Exons: 2
Source: RefSeq, a predicted model, not a curated record